AAGUCGUAACAAGGUUUCCGUAGGCGAACCUGCGGAAGGAUCAUUAACACGUAUCCAAACUGCUCUUGUAACCCGCGAAGCUUGCAAUCUCUGGUAAAUCAUAGCCCGGAAAGUAGUUUUGAUUCAGAGACCUCUGGCCCGUGAGAUUCUUUGAGACGUUACAAUUUUGAGCGGUAGUUCUAUAGGCCUUGUUUCCCCAAGCAGUCAGUGUCUGAAAGUGUCAUUGAUUGUGCAAGGAUAACGCUUCACGAUUCUUGUAGACCGCAUCUCGCGGGCAGGAGCUAGGCCAAAGGGUCCCCAUGCCCCCUUACAACCCCACAGUUUAAUGUGAAGCUCAAUGUAAUACAUUGGGUAAAAAAACCGAACAACUGUUAACAAUGGAUAUCUUGGUUCUC
RNAcentral lists this unclassified non-coding RNA (395 nucleotides) under fungal sp. RNAcentral describes it as "partial internal transcribed spacer region". The stretch from base 1 to 46 matches the Rfam family "Eukaryotic small subunit ribosomal RNA", at positions 1786 to 1831 of the family's 1831-position model. The record is from RNAcentral. Lineage: Eukaryota; Fungi.